RNAcentral lists this ribosomal RNA (253 nucleotides) under uncultured bacterium. Its description in RNAcentral is "partial 16S ribosomal RNA". It matches the Rfam family "Bacterial small subunit ribosomal RNA", at positions 524 to 776 of the family's 1533-position model. The record is from RNAcentral.
UACGUAGGGUGCGAGCGUUAAUCGGAAUUACUGGGCGUAAAGGGUGCGUAGGCGGUUUGGCAAGUCUUAUGUGAAAUCUAUGGGCUCAACCCAUAGUCUGCAUGAGAAACUACCGGGCUUGAGUAUUGGAGAGGUGAGUGGAAUUUCCGGUGUAGCGGUGAAAUGCGUAGAUAUCGGAAGGAACACCUGUGGCGAAAGCGGCUCACUGGACAAUAACUGACGCUGAUGCACGAAAGCUAGGGGAGCAAACAGG